RNAcentral lists this small RNA (296 nucleotides) under Pan troglodytes (chimpanzee). RNAcentral describes it as "processed transcript". Lineage: Eukaryota; Metazoa; Chordata; Mammalia; Primates; Hominidae. The record is from RNAcentral.
AACUCAACCGAAAGCCUGCAGAGAGCAGAACAUGGAAGGAGACUUCUCGGUGUGCAGGAACUGGUAAGAAAGCGCUUUCUCCAGCGGCAGACCCGGGCUGGCGAGGGAGAGACGCAGACGACAUAGGGCUGUUUCUGAAGGGAGCAGAAAGUGGUUCCUGCAUAAGAACACUUAGGAGGACAAGCAGCUGGAGACCGUGGGCCCCAAGGUAAAAGACAUGUAGUCUCUGCCAACUUCACCCUCCAUGAGGCUUACUGCCUGCGGUUCCUGGUCCUGUGUCCGGAGUGUGAGGAGCC